RNAcentral lists this non-coding RNA (82 nucleotides) under Paenibacillus sp. GP183. RNAcentral's name for it is "c-di-GMP-I riboswitch aptamer". It matches the Rfam family "c-di-GMP-I riboswitch aptamer". From Rfam's summary of the family: GEMM was predicted in a large-scale screen for bacterial structured RNA regulatory elements. Genes associated with GEMM are involved in a diverse array of functions, including chemotaxis regulation, signal transduction, secretion and chitin. Lineage: Bacteria; Bacillati; Bacillota; Bacilli; Caryophanales; Paenibacillaceae. The record is from Rfam by way of RNAcentral.
CAGUGAUAAAGGCAAACCUAUUGAAAGGUAGGGACGCAAAGCUACAGGCCUAAGGAUUUUCUACGGCAGCUGGGUUACCAAU